GUUAAAUACUUUUCAUUACACAUUUCUCCACUAUAGCAAUUUAGCAGUAUAUUCUCUCUUUUUAAUCCCGUUGGCUUUACCACUCAGAUUUCCUUCUUCUAUAUAGAAAUGGUACAGUGAAUUAUUUUCUAUUCUCUCUUUCCCCCCCGCCCUCCCCCCUAAUUAUGUUCCCAUGCUUUUCAGUUACUCCCUCUUAAUUAUAC
Pelobates cultripes (western spadefoot toad) is the source of this 203-nucleotide non-coding RNA. Lineage: Eukaryota; Metazoa; Chordata; Amphibia; Anura; Pelobatidae. The record is from the annotation of a GenBank genome assembly.